CUACGGGGCGCAGCAGGCGCGAAACCUUUACAAUGCACGAAAGUGUGAUAAGGGAAUCCCGAGUGCUUUGCUUUCGGGUAAAGCUUUUGUCAAGUGUAAAAAGCUUGGCGAAUAAGUGGUGGGUAAGACAGGUGCCAGCCGCCGCGGUAACACCUGCGCCACGAGUGGCUAUCAUGUUUAUUGGGUCUAAAGCGUUCGUAGCCGGUUUGAUAAGUUCUUUGUGAAAUUGAUGAGCUCAACUCAUCAACGUGCAAGGAAUACUGUUAGACUAGGGACCGGGAGGAGGUAGGAGUACUCUUUGGGGAGCGGUAGAAUGUUGUAAUCCUUAGAGGACUACCUGUGGCGAAGGCGCCUACCCAGAACGGCUCUGACGGUGAGGAACGAAGGCUAGGGGAGCAAAACGGAUUAGAUACCCCGGUAGUC
RNAcentral lists this ribosomal RNA (423 nucleotides) under uncultured archaeon. RNAcentral's name for it is "partial 16S ribosomal RNA". It matches the Rfam family "Archaeal small subunit ribosomal RNA", at positions 323 to 746 of the family's 1478-position model. The record is from RNAcentral.